This 253-nucleotide ribosomal RNA is filed under the name uncultured bacterium. RNAcentral describes it as "partial 16S ribosomal RNA". It matches the Rfam family "Bacterial small subunit ribosomal RNA", at positions 524 to 776 of the family's 1533-position model. The record is from RNAcentral.
UACAGAGGGUGCGAGCGUUGUCCGGAAUCACUGGGCGUAAAGGGCGCGUAGGCGGCCACGCACGUCCGUUGUGAAAUCGCCCGGCUCAACUGGGCGGGGUCAGCGGAUACGGUGUGGCUCGAGCAAGCUAGGGGGCAAUGGAAUUCCCGGUGUAGUGGUGGAAUGCGUAGAUAUCGGGAGGAACACCAGUGGCGAAGGCGGUUGCCUGGAGCUUUGCUGACGCUGAGGCGCGAAAGCGUGGGGAGCGAUCCGG